CGGGGCGUAGCGAAGCCUGGUAUCGCGCCUGCUUUGGGAGCAGGAGACCGUGGGUUCGAAUCCCGCCGCCCCGA
RNAcentral lists this transfer RNA (74 nucleotides) under Chloroflexota bacterium. RNAcentral describes it as "tRNA-Pro". It matches the Rfam family "tRNA". Rfam says of the family: Transfer RNA (tRNA) molecules are approximately 80 nucleotides in length. Their secondary structure includes four short double-helical elements and three loops (D, anti-codon, and T loops). The record is from RNAcentral. Lineage: Bacteria; Bacillati; Chloroflexota. RNAcentral also lists the same sequence under 1 other name.